Brassica rapa (field mustard) is the source of this 3337-nucleotide long non-coding RNA. RefSeq lists it as uncharacterized. Lineage: Eukaryota; Viridiplantae; Streptophyta; Magnoliopsida; Brassicales; Brassicaceae. The record is from RefSeq and is a predicted model, not a curated record.
CUUAGAUCAAACCAAAAUCUCCACCUUCAGCACAAAAAAAGAAGAAAAUAAGCUAUAGCCAUAAAAUCUGCUAAAGCCAUCGAAAUGACUAGAGUUGAUCUAAACGUCUUUUCAUCUUCUGCUGCCGACACGGAGUCUGAUCCAAGUGUUAUAAACGGCUUGAAACCCUUAUCCUUUCGUCAUCGGGAUCGAUGACGGAUCUACCCAGUACAAACUACGCUGUCAUCGCCAAAACGAAUCAAAACAGCUGCUGAACAAGUUGUGCGCUUCUGGAGGAGGUUUGAUGGAUUGAUGCUAAAGCCAUUGUUCCAGUAUAGGCUAAGAUGACUUCUAAUAUUAUUGACAUAACAGAGGUGUGCCGUGUGUGGCUUGUGCCUUAUUCAAACACUACAUUUUUUGCCAAUUAAAUAGUUCAAUCAGUUCUGAUCGUCUAAUUUUCUCCUUCAGGGACGCGACAUCUUUCGCACCUGCGGCUCGGAUCAUGGUACGUUCUUACAUUUUGUUUCUGUAAAGAUCUGUAUUGAUCGUGUAAGUAAUGUACAAUACAAUAGGCCUUAUAUACAAGAGCCUUAGACAUUAACUAAUAACAAUAGCUUCCUAAAAUAGGGGAUCGUCAUUUUGACUACAGAAUAUAUGGAAACACAAUCGUAUCUCUAACAGUUUCUUCUUCCUCUGCUCUCUUAAAACACUGUAAGUUAUGAUCGUAGAGCUGUGAAAUUUAAGACAGCCGAUUCUAUGUUUCCAGUGCAGAUCGAAGCUCUAAAAUAAGUUGUAAUAAAUAAUUUUGAAUUGUUUACGUUUUGUGAUUUGUAUUAAAUGCCUCUUUGAUGACUUCUAACAAGCUAUUGUGGAAUUGUACUGAUGCAGGAGGAACAGGAGAAUGCUAGAAAUAGAUCUAUUGUUGUUUAGAGCACAGUAGAUUUAGGUUCAUGUAUGUUGAGGUCACCAACAAAUUGAACAAGUACAAUUCCAAAAUUUAACAUCUUGGGGGUAGAGGCGGAUGGAAGUUAUAGGUUGUUGAAACGAGAGAGCUGCUGAAGAAGGAUUUAACAAAUGAGGUACAAGCUUCAUUUCAUAAAAUUAAACACAAUCUUUGCAUUGGCUGAUGGAACAAGCUUUAUUUUUCUUUGUGGUUACAUGAAUCUACUUGAUACGGGUUCGGGUUUGGUUUUGAGCAUGUUUCUGAGAUCGACGUUGACAGAGACCCGUUUUUUUUUGGACAACAGACAAAGAUCCGCUAAAGAAGGUAAAUGGAUUGAUUUCCUAUCUAGGCAAUGCAAAUGUGAUUUCUGGAGAAGCUUCUUGGGCUUUUAAUCAGUCAUCUUUGAGAACUGGAAAGGAGAAAGAGCCUUUGAAACUGAAGGUAUGGUGGAGUGCAACUAUGAUGCUACUUCCAAAAUAACUGGUGGAUGGAUUUUACGUGGUCAUCUUGGCGUAGCUCUCAGGGGAAAACAUGAUCGGCUUUAGAGGCAGAAGCAAUGGUGCUACUCUUAAUCAUUCCAAAGGCCAUGUAUUAUCUCACCUCCUCCACCAAGCGCAUGCUUAUGAGAUCAUGAAUGUGAGCAACAAUAUCAAAUGGUGGGGCUCAAGAAUGUUACCGGUAAAAAGAUGUUGUGUUGUUCUUCGUUCUCUCAAUCACAUAGCACAUCAUAAUCCUCUUUGUAUGUAUAAAUAGUUUAGAUAAAUAUCAGAUACUUUAAAACACAUGAGUCGGUCGUUUUUAGUAUUUUGUAAUCAUUUGUGUUAUAUUAAUAUAAAAAAUUAUAAAUAAAGCACCAGCCUAAUCUCGAUACUAUAUAUAUAUAUAUAUAUUAUAUUUCAACAAAAUAUUAUAUAACAUAUUUAAUAAUUCCUCUUAUUAUACCAUACAAAGUGUUGAUUAACCUGUAUUUUUCUUUCCUUUCAUGUGGGCCAAUAGCAGAUAAAAUGUUACAUCAAUAUAAUCUAUGGAGUCAUCGUUUUGUUUGGGCUUAUAUUACAAAUAUAUUUGCAAUUAUAGAUUCAUAUAAAUAUAAUCCAUAUAGGCUAAACCAAAUAUAAAAUUACUCGAAAAGGUAAAAAUAAAAUAUACCAAUAUAAUAAAACUCUGAUUAGAAAGAAGAAAAUAUGGUUAAACUAAAAAGCAAAUAAGAUACACGAAUUUAUACAAAAGUCUUCUAGAAUGUCAAUAUAAGUAAAUAGAAAAGCUUUAGUCAAAUAAUAAACAAUACAUUUUUUUAAUAACCAUGGGAAUUCUAAAUUUUUAUAGACCCAAAUACUAAUACCACGAAAUCUAGCAUCUGGCUACGUGUGGACAAUUAAAUUCAUUUAAAACGCGGUUAAGUGGCCAAUGCUAUUCAAAUCCAAAAUACAAAUUUUAGCUGAAACCUCUUUCUCACUAGAUCAAACUGCCAAGUCUUGGUUUUUUUAUUAUUUUGUUUGAAAAUACAUCUAUUGCACUAAAAGUAAAUGAUAAAAAAAUUAAAGAUAUUGCAUGUAAAUACACAAUAAAAUGACAGAUAAAAUGAAAUUAAUAUAAAAAUAAAUAACUAAAAAUCUUUUAAAGACUCUUGAAUCAGCCAAAUAUUCAACAAAAAGAAAUCACGCUUUAAUCAACCAUAUCAUUCUUUACAAGAAUUAUAUAAGUUUUUUAAAAGCUUACAAAAAAAUAGCCUCAUCAGUACUUUCCUCCAGGUUAUUAUGUCUACCGUAAAGCAAAUUAACAACAUAAAUCGACAAGCCACAUUGACCAUUAAUUUUCACAUUCGUAAUAAACCUAUUACAUUUGCUUAUAAUAGAUUUCCACAACUUAAAUACAUCGAGUAACACUAAUAAAUAUACUACAAUAAAAUAAAAUAUAAAUACAUAUAUCAACAUGAUCAUAUUCUCAGAAGAGACAGUUUUCCUUGAGGCUAAUGAUGAGUGUCUCUAAAGCUUCAUUUCAAAGGCAUGAACACAACUCCCAGAUUCUCCACUUUCUCCAUAUUCACUUUGUGAAUGAUUCCUUCCAUUUUACCUUUUCUAUUCGUACAACAAAUACAAAUGGUAUUAAGUUUUUUGGUAUAUUCCUGAUUGAAUUUAUGGACUUGGCACGAUGAUAUAUUAGUAGGGUUGAUAUGGAUAGAAAACUCACAUAUCAGCAAUAAACAAAUCUUGAAAUAAUCCAUGAAUUGCAUAGUCUGCUUAGUGUUGUUUAUUAUCGUACUUGAGCCAUCCAUGAGGUAUCUGCCAUUAGCGUCUCCAACGCUUUGACAUGAGCGGAGGCAACAUUUUUUAAGUAACUCUAUUCAUUUACCUUUUCCUCCACCAUCCCAUAUCACAUAUGUAUUUUUAGAUAUUAAAAAGACAAAAAAAUAAA